AAAGAAAAACAACUCUCCACAAACCCUAACUGAAGCAACGCCGACUCCUCUCCUCAUCGCUUCCUUCUCCUCCCUAUCCGAAUCCCCUCCUCUCUCGUCGAAGUUCGUCGCUAAGCAGAGCCGCCCUCCUCUCCUCGUCGUGAAGCAGAGUCGCCUCCCUCUCGCCGAAGCUCGUCGCGAAGCAGAGCCGCCCUCCUCCUCGUCGCGAAGCAGAGCUGCUUCGCCCUCCUCUCCUCGUCACGAAGCAGAGCCGCCUCCCUCUCUCGCCGAAGCUCGUCGCAAAGCAGAGCCGCCCUCCUCUCCUCGUCGCGUUCCUCUCUCGCCGCGAGACCCCUCUCUCGCCCGCGAGACCCCUCGUCACGUUCUCUCGUAGCUGAUCUUGGGCAUUUCUCUCCGCCGAACUAGGUGGCCUCUACUUCAGUGGCUCUGCAGGAUAUCAGUUUCUUACCGGAGAGUCAAAGAGCAAUCGUCCCAAGGCUGAACAAGAAGCAGCAUUUCAGUGGAAGCAUGAUUGAAACAAACAAGUUCAAAGAGAGGCGACUGGAAGGAGUUCCUAAGUUGAAGCGAUCAUCUUCCUUCAAUGAGGAUAGGAGCUAAGAUAUGCCUUGUUCAAUAAGGGAGAGUGAAAAGAUUGGGGAUUCAUCUCAACCGAAGUAUCCCUCCGGGGCUUCCAAAAACAUAUCCGACAUGAACUCCAUGUCUGAUGAUAAUGCAACAAAGAUAUCCCCCGUUUCAGAUGCAAGAAAGUCCUCUGCAUGGAUGGACAUUCCUAGGUCUUCGCCUCUCCGUUCGUCAACUGAUGGAAGUAAAAGAUCAAGAGAGUGUGACCCAGUUAAGGGCUCAUCCAUUGGGUUAAAAUCUUUCCAAGAAUUCAAAGAGAAGGUGAUCAGGAUCGAAGCAAGCUUACUUCUGGAGCUAGGGUUAUAAUAGUAUCUAGAUCUGAUGAUAAUGAAGAUUUUUGACUUCCGAAUUCCAACAAAUAUAUGCAUUAUCUCUCUCAGUUCGCAAUCGUGGAGCAUUGAAGUUCUUGCAAGUGCCAUUGGUUCGACACGUCGUUCCUUAACUUAUUUGAGCUAUUUCAGAAGCAUUGAUUUGUUUUCUUCUACCAACCAUUGUUGUAUUCUUCUAAUUUCCUCGAAGAUAAACUAAAUUUUCGCUUCA
Zingiber officinale is the source of this 1161-nucleotide long non-coding RNA. RefSeq lists it as uncharacterized. The transcript has 4 exons. Lineage: Eukaryota; Viridiplantae; Streptophyta; Magnoliopsida; Zingiberales; Zingiberaceae. The record is from RefSeq and is a predicted model, not a curated record.